This 497-nucleotide ribosomal RNA is filed under the name Glaphyserica humeralis. RNAcentral's name for it is "partial 16S large subunit ribosomal RNA". It matches the Rfam family "Bacterial large subunit ribosomal RNA", at positions 1844 to 2600 of the family's 2925-position model. Lineage: Eukaryota; Metazoa; Arthropoda; Insecta; Coleoptera; Scarabaeidae. The record is from RNAcentral.
UUUAAAGUCUAAUCUGCCCUAUGAGGAAUUAAAUGGCCGCGGUACUCUGACCGUGCAAAGGUAGCAUAAUAAUUAGUUUUUUAAUUGAAAGCUGGAAUGAAUGAUUGGACGAGAAAAUUACUGUCUCAGUAUAGUUUAAUUAGAAUUUUAUUUUUAAGUAAAAAAGCUUAAAUUUUUUUAAAAGACGAGAAGACCCUAUAGAGUUUUAUAUUUGAUUAAAUAUGGGUUUUUAAGAAUUUUUUUAAUUUGUAUUUAUGAUAAUAUUUUGUUGGGGUGAUAGAAAAAUUUAAUAAACUUUUUUUUAUUUUUAAACAUUGAUUUAUGAUUAAUUGAUCCAAUAUUUUUGAUUAUAAGAUUAAAUUACCUUAGGGAUAACAGCGUAAUUUUUUUUUAGAGUUCUUAUCGAAAGAAAAGAUUGCGACCUCGAUGUUGGAUUAAAAUAAACGUUUGGUGUAGAAGCUAAAUAGUUAGGUCUGUUCGACCUUUAAAAUUUUACA